GACGAACGCUGGCGGCGUGCUUAACACAUGCAAGUCGAACGGAAAGGCCCUGCUUUUGUGGGGUGCUCGAGUGGCGAACGGGUGAGUAACACGUGAGUAACCUGCCCUUGACUUUGGGAUAACUUCAGGAAACUGGGGCUAAUACCGGAUAGGAGCUCCUGCUGCAUGGUGGGGGUUGGAAAGUUUCGGCGGUUGGGGAUGGACUCGCGGCUUAUCAGCUUGUUGGUGGGGUAGUGGCUUACCAAGGCUUUGACGGGUAGCCGGCCUGAGAGGGUGACCGGCCACAUUGGGACUGAGAUACGGCCCAGAUUCCUACGGGAGGCAGCAGUGGGGAAUAUUGCACAAUGGGCGGAAGCCUGAUGCAGCAACGCCGUGUGCGGGAUGACGGCCUUCGGGUUGUAAACCGCUUUCGCCUGUGACGAAGCGUGAGUGACGGUAAUGGGUAAAGAAGCACCGGCUAACUACGUG
RNAcentral lists this ribosomal RNA (468 nucleotides) under uncultured bacterium. RNAcentral describes it as "partial 16S ribosomal RNA". It matches the Rfam family "Bacterial small subunit ribosomal RNA", at positions 28 to 507 of the family's 1533-position model. The record is from RNAcentral.